This 484-nucleotide ribosomal RNA is filed under the name uncultured bacterium. RNAcentral describes it as "partial 16S ribosomal RNA". It matches the Rfam family "Bacterial small subunit ribosomal RNA", at positions 29 to 507 of the family's 1533-position model. The record is from RNAcentral.
AGUGAACGCUGGCGGUAGGCCUAACACAUGCAAGUCGAACGGCAGCACAGUAAGAGCUCCUUGUUUCGGCGGCGGACGGGCGAGGGGUGCGGAAGAAACUGGAAGUUACUUUUUUCUGGGGGGCGAAGGCGGGCAAUAUUACCCUAUACCUCCUUAGGACCAACGGGGGAAAUCUGGGGACCUCAGGCCCUCGGCUGAUCGGAGGUCGGAUUAGCUAGUUGGUGGGGUAAAGGCCUACCAAGGCGACGAUCCGUAGCUGGUCUGAGAGGAUGAUCAGCCACACUGGAACUGAGACACGGUCCAGACUCCUACGGGAGGCAGCAGUGGGGAAUAUUGGACAAUGGGCGCAAGCCUGAUCCAGCCAUACCGCGUGGGUGAAGAAGGCCUUCGGGUUGUAAAGCACUUUUGUUGGGAAAGAAAAGCAGUAGGUUAAUACCCCGCUGUUCUGACGGCACCCAAAGAAUAAGCACCGGCUAACUUCGUG